GAUGAAGAACGUAGCGAAAUGCGAUAAGUAAUGCGAAUUGCAGAAUUCAGUGAGUCAUCGAAUCUUUGAACGCACAUUGCGCCCUGUGGUAUUCCGCAGGGCAUGCCUGUUCGAGCGUCAUUUCAACCCUCAAGCCCCGCUUGGUGUUGGGCCCCGCCCGCCGUGGCCGGCCCUAAAGACAGUGGCGGCGCCGCCUGGCCCUCAGCGUAGUACAGCUCUCGCUCCAGGGUCCGGCGGCCGCCUGCCAGAACCCCCCCAACUCUGUGGUUGACCUCGGAUCAGGUAGGGAUACCCGCUGAACUUAAGCAUAUCAAUAACGGAGGA
This 324-nucleotide unclassified non-coding RNA is filed under the name soil metagenome. RNAcentral's name for it is "partial contains 5.8S ribosomal RNA, internal transcribed spacer 2, and large subunit ribosomal RNA". The stretch from base 1 to 120 matches the Rfam family "5.8S ribosomal RNA", at positions 35 to 154 of the family's 154-position model. The record is from RNAcentral.